This is a long non-coding RNA of Neogale vison (American mink), 1829 nucleotides long. Lineage: Eukaryota; Metazoa; Chordata; Mammalia; Carnivora; Mustelidae. The record is from Ensembl.
UAAGAGACAGGUUGCGUGUCGCCGGCAGAACCGCGCCUGGUGGCCUUUCCCGCAGGCCGUAGAGCUGUGCCUUCCGACCGCCGGGGGAAGGCCGCCUGUCCCUCCGCUGGGGCAGGGGGCCCGCAGGGCGCGGGUUGGAGCCCCCCGGAGCAGUGCGCGGGGACCAGCCGCUCUCCUCCCCGCAGUGCAUCACCCGCGAGGCGCGGGCCGCCAACUUCUCCAGCUCGCUCAGCCUGCCGGACAAGACCCUGCAGUUCGUCAAGGACCACCCCCUGAUGGACAGCUCCGUGACCCCGAUAGACAACAGGCCCAGGCUCAUCCGAAGCGACGUGAACUACACGCAGGUCGUGGUGGACCGGACCUGGGCUCUGGAUGGGACCCCCUACGACGUCAUGUUUGUGGGCACAGACCAGGGCGCCCUGCACAAAGCAGUCAGCCUGGAGAACGAGGCCCACAUCAUCGAGGAGACACGGCUCUUCCAGGACCUCGAGCCGGUCCAGACGCUGCUGCUGAAUUCUCAGAAGGUAGAGUGCUGGGUGGGCAGCCUCACGUGUCCGUGUCACCAGCCGGCCGGGCCACGUCACCAGCAGGCCGGGCCGGCACUCACCCGUCCCGUCCAGAGGGCCUGACCUCCAGGCUCUUACAGAAGGUCCUGGGAACCCUGGGCUUUGGGUGGAUGGAAGGCGAGCUGAGUGAUGGAAUGGUCGCCGCGGGUUGGCGGAGCCUCACCGAGUCCCUGGGGGCCCCCAGUGUGGCCGUGGGGGCCUGCUGGCUCAGGGAAACACUCCUGCGCCCCGAGCUUGUCCGGGUCCGCGCCUGUCGCAGGUGAGCUGUCGGUGCGGGAGAGCCGGCUCUGAGCCGUGGUGACGAGGCCCAUGCGGCCGUCAGGCCCCUUCUCCUGCGUCGGGUCGGGGUUGGGUUCCGGAUCCGGAUCUGGUUCGGCCCCCCCGCAGAAGCUAGGACUGGGUGCUUGAGGCUCUGGGGGCCGCAGUGUCCGUGCGCUGGCCGCACUCUGGCAGUGCCUUCGUCACGGGCCCCAGGCUCCGGAGCUCACGCAACUUCCGAGGGUCACAGGAUAGCAUGCUUUUGACUUUUUUUCUCUACCAUUAACAGUGUGAAAUCUGGCACGAGCUGGGGGGUAGCACAGAAAUAGCCAAGGGGCUGGAUUGGCUCCGCAGGCCGCCCCCUGCCAUCUGUCCCCACGGCCUGGGACACAGGCCUCCCUCUUUCCCACAGGGGUGGGGGGUGCAGGAGGGGCAGAGCAGGCCUGGUCCAGGACCGUGAGCGCGAGCCCAGCAGGCCAGUCCUGCCUUAGUCUUUUGUGUACCUGGGGGACAGCGGAUCCUGUGAGUGGCCCAGCCCUGCUCUGGCCAAAGGCCUCACCUCUCCGUGUGGGCGUCCCCAUGCUGUGAGCCCAAGCCCGAGGGGCCGGCCGCGCGCCUGUUCCCUGUAGCUGCAGAGCUGGGCUAGGCCCGGCCCCGCAUGUGCAGCUCUGCUUGGCGGGGCCUGCUCUGCAGGGCGUUGCUCACCUGCUGGGUGACCCAGAGUGCAGUUUGACCCAGAAUGCUCCCGAGCCUCCUCGCUGGGUGCAGACAGAGCGUCCCACUGCAGGAGGGGGUCCGACAGCCCCUCUGCGCGUCCCCGCAGCCUGCGCUCUGGUGGGGACAGCAGGAAGCAAGGGGCCCGGCAGCCAGGCAGGGGACGAGGGAAGCAGCCGACUUCUCGGGCACCUACGGGUCCCCUUCGUGGUGAGCUUAACGUCCUUGGAUCUGGUGUCCAGACUCCCGUCACAGGGUCACGUCCCCUGCCAGCCACUGCUGUGUGCACCU